AUUGAACGCUGGCGGCAGGCCUAACACAUGCAAGUCGAACGAGUGGCGGACGGGUGAGUAAUGUCUGGGAAACUGCCUGAUGGAGGGGGAUCACUACUGGAAACGGUAGCUAAUACCGCAUACCAUCGGAUGUGCCCAGAUGGGAUUAGCUAGUAGGUGGGGUAAAGGAUCACCUAGGCGCCGAUCCCUAGCUGGUCUGAGAGGAUGACCAGCCAAACUGUAACUGAGACACGGUCCGGACUCCUACGGGAGGCAGCAGUGGGGAGUAUUGCACAAGGGGCGCAAGCCUGAUGCAGCCAUGCCGCGGGUAUGAAGAAGGCCAUCGGGUUGUAAAGUACUUGCAGCGGGGAGGCGUUACCCGCAGAAGAAGCACCGGCUAACUCCGUGCCAGCAGCCGCGGUAAUUC
Molecule: ribosomal RNA, 406 nt
Filed under: uncultured bacterium
Lineage: Bacteria
Description: partial 16S ribosomal RNA
Rfam family: Bacterial small subunit ribosomal RNA
Source: RNAcentral